This 75-nucleotide transfer RNA is filed under the name Candidatus Koribacter versatilis Ellin345. RNAcentral's name for it is "tRNA-His (GTG) (tRNA-His-GTG-1-1)". It matches the Rfam family "tRNA". From Rfam's summary of the family: Transfer RNA (tRNA) molecules are approximately 80 nucleotides in length. Their secondary structure includes four short double-helical elements and three loops (D, anti-codon, and T loops). Lineage: Bacteria; Pseudomonadati; Acidobacteriota; Terriglobia; Terriglobales; Candidatus Korobacteraceae. RNAcentral also lists the same sequence under 3 other names. The record is from RNAcentral.
GUGGGUAUAGUUCAGUGGUAGAACUCCGGACUGUGGCUCCGGCUGUCGUGGGUUCGAAUCCCACUACCCACCCCA